GUUAAGCGACUAAGCGUACACGGUGGAUGCCCUGGCAGUCAGAGGCGAUGAAGGACGUGCUAAUCUGCGAUAAGCGUCGGUAAGGUGAUAUGAACCGUUAUAACCGGCGAUUUCCGAAUGGGGAAACCCAGUGUGAUUCGUCACACUAUCAUUACGUGAAUACAUAGCGUAAUGAAGCGAACCGGGGGAACUGAAACAUCUAAGUACCCCGAGGAAAAGAAAUCAACCGAGAUUCCCCCAGUAGCGGCGAGCGAACGGGGAGCAGCCCAGAGUCUGAAUCAGCUUGUGUGUUAGUGGAACGGUCUGGAAAGUCCGACGGUACAGGGUGAUAGUCCCGUACACCAAAAUGCACAGGUUGUGAACUCGAAGAGUAGGGCGGGACACGUGGUAUCCUGUCUGAAUAUGGGGGGACCAUCCUCCAAGGCUAAAUACUCCUGACUGACCGAUAGUGAACCAGUACCGUGAGGGAAAGGCGAAAAGAACCCCGGCGAGGGGAGUG
RNAcentral lists this ribosomal RNA (499 nucleotides) under Citrobacter freundii. RNAcentral describes it as "partial 23S ribosomal RNA". It matches the Rfam family "Bacterial large subunit ribosomal RNA", at positions 1 to 540 of the family's 2925-position model. Lineage: Bacteria; Pseudomonadati; Pseudomonadota; Gammaproteobacteria; Enterobacterales; Enterobacteriaceae. The record is from RNAcentral.